RNAcentral lists this unclassified non-coding RNA (343 nucleotides) under soil metagenome. RNAcentral describes it as "partial contains 5.8S ribosomal RNA, internal transcribed spacer 2, and large subunit ribosomal RNA". The stretch from base 1 to 120 matches the Rfam family "5.8S ribosomal RNA", at positions 35 to 154 of the family's 154-position model. The record is from RNAcentral.
GAUGAAGAACGCAGCGAAAUGCGAUAAGUAAUGUGAAUUGCAGAAUUCAGUGAAUCAUCGAAUCUUUGAACGCACAUUGCGCCCGCUAGUAUUCUGGCGGGCAUGCCUGUCCGAGCGUCAAUUCAACCCUCAAGCCCCCGGGCUUGGUGUUGGGGAUCGGCGAGCCUCCGCGCCCGCCGUCCCCUAAAUCUAGUGGCGGUCUCGCUGUAGCUUCCUCUGCGUAGUAGCACACCUCGCACUGGGAAACAGCGCGGCCACGCCGUUAAACCCCCAACUUCUGAACGUUUGACCUCGGAUCAGGUAGGAAUACCCGCUGAACUUAAGCAUAUCAAUAAGCGGAGGA